Molecule: long non-coding RNA, 511 nt
Organism: Homo sapiens (human)
Lineage: Eukaryota; Metazoa; Chordata; Mammalia; Primates; Hominidae
Gene: ADGRB3-AS1
Exons: 2
Source: RefSeq, a predicted model, not a curated record
AUACAGCUUUAAGGCCUUUGUUUUCACAAUUUCAACAGAAUAAAUCAAUACUUUGAAAACUUUGCUCCACAAAGCUACUAACACUGAAUCCUUCUGUUGUAGCAUCAUUGAAUGACAAAGCUGAAAAGGAACUGGAUAUCAGGGAUCACAAACCCAAAUGCUUACAGGGGCUACCACACGGAUAUUGGACAAGAGGACUUAAGACUCUGAAAGGUAACAGCAGAAACAACUUCCUUCCACCCUGUGUGUGUCACUGUCUACAGCAGCAUGGAGAAGUCAGGCGAGUGUUUCCCAUAAAUUCAGUGGGAUUCUUAUGGUAACCGUGGGAAGAAGAGAGUGCAGGACUAAAAUAAAACACAUAUGGUCAUUUCUUUUCUUUUUUCAUUUUUUCUUGAUUUGAGAUAUUGUACUUUAUUCUAUGCAAAGAAUGCACUUGGUUUUAUAAAUGGUAAUAGAUUCAGUAUUCUAACACUCAUUUCUCACCUUGAAUAAAGAGACUGCAUUAACAUAA